UCGCGGCAGGGAGGUUCACAA
Molecule: microRNA, 21 nt
Filed under: Ectocarpus siliculosus
Lineage: Eukaryota; Phaeophyceae; Ectocarpales; Ectocarpaceae
Description: esi-miR3451-3p
Source: miRBase by way of RNAcentral